This 854-nucleotide long non-coding RNA is filed under the name Sorghum bicolor (sorghum). Its description in RNAcentral is "long non-coding RNA (SBIC_LNC018410)". The record is from RNAcentral. Lineage: Eukaryota; Viridiplantae; Streptophyta; Magnoliopsida; Poales; Poaceae.
ACGCUAUGGUGCUGGACCUUAAUUCUGAUUGCGCCAUCAGGCAUUUCGUCAGUCUUCUGAAGGCCAAAGCUCAGUGGGAUGCAAAUUAAUAAGGCUUUGUUUAGAUGCAAAAUUUUUUUUGAAGUUUGACACUGUAAUAUUUUCGUUUGUAUUUGAUAAACAUUGUCCAACCAUGAACUAACUAGGCUUAAAAGAUUCGUCUCAUGAUUUACAGAUAAUGGGAUUUGGUGAAGAUGCGCAAUGGCGAUGUCAAGGCGAAGAUACGGGCCGGGAGCAUGCAGCAGAGGCAGAUCAUCGAUCUUUGUGUGUGGGCAGGGCAGACGCUCGCCGAUUAGAACAAUGCAUCAUGUGUUUCCGUGAAGAUGUUCGGCGACAACCUCACAUUUAAUUUGACGGCAAUGAGCUUGUUGACGAUGGGAAGACACUUGCUGAGUACAAUGUCCAUCUGGGUUCACUUCCGUUUCUGUACUAGUAUUCAAAUUAUGCUUCUUUCCUGAACUCUACGGAGCCAUGUCCACUUAGUUUGUCUAUAUAUUUGUGUGAAGGACUAAAAUGGCAACUAGAAAGGGGAUGAUGAUGGGCAGGAUGAAUAAAGAGGUUGCUACUAUUACCGAUCAAAUUAUCCCAUCCGUGCUACGUGAUGCUCAAGAUAGACUCUUGCUUCUGAAGAGAUUUAUGCGAGCUGCAGCAGGUGCUUAAACAGCUCAACGAAUAUGCACCGUUUAACGCCAAUCAUUCAGCACCUAAAGAUCUCUUGAGGAUUCUGCGCUUAUUGGAGGAAGCAAAUGCUGUUGUCGGACGCACUUGUCGGUAACAGCAUCACAGGUAAUAAGAGAGAGAAUUGCUGAUGCAUC